GUAAGCACAUGGAGGCCGCAGUGACCAGGUGGCUGGGACUGUUUAUUAAAAACACAGCACUCUGCAAACUCGUAAGAGGACGUAUAGGGUGUGACACCUGCCCGGUGCCGGAAGGUUAAUUGAUGGGGUUAGUUUUCGGACGAAGCUCUUGAUCGAAGCCCCGGUAAACGGCGGCCGUAACUAUAACGGUCCUAAGGUAGCGAAAUUCCUUGUCGGGUAAGUUCCGACCUGCACGAAUGGUGUAACCAUGGCCACGCUGUCUCCACCCGAGACUCAGUGAAAUUGAAAUCGCAGUGAAGAUGCUGUGUACCCGCACCUAGACGGAAAGACCCCGUGAACCUUUACUACAGCUUGGCACUGAACAUUGAACCUACAUGUGUAGGAUAGGUGGGAGGCUUUGAAGCAUUGUCGCUAGAUGAUGUGGAGCCGUCCUUGAAAUACCACCCUUGUAUGUUUGAUGUUCUAACAUAGUUCCCUUAUCGGGAAUGUGGACAGUGUCUGGUGGGUAGUUUGACUGGGGCGGUCUCCUCCCAAAUAGUAACGGAGGAGCACGAAGGUUAGCUAAUCACGGUCGGACAUCGUGAGGUUAGUGCAAUGGCAUAAGCUAGCUUAACUGCGAGACAGACACGUCGAGCAGGUACGAAAGUAGGUCAUAGUGAUCCGGUGGUUCUGUAUGGAAGGGCCAUCGCUCAACGGAUAAAAGGUACUCCGGGGAUAACAGGCUGAUACCGCCCAAGAGUUCAUAUCGACGGCGGUGUUUGGCACCUCGAUGUCGGCUCAUCACAUCCUGGGGCUGAAGUCGGUCCCAAGGGUAUGGCUGUUCGCCAUUUAAAGUGGUACGCGAGCUGGGUUUAGAACGUCGUGAGACAGUUCGGUCCCUAUCUGGUGUGGGCGUUGGAUGAUUGAUGGGAGCUGCUCCUAGUACGAGAGGACCGGAGUGGACGAACCGCUGGUGUUCGGGUUGUCAUGCCAAUGGCAUUGCCCGGUAGCUACGUUCGGAACGGAUAACCGCUGAAAGCAUCUAAGCGGGAAGCCGGCCCAGAGAUGAGUCAUCCCUGACUUUUAAAGUCCGGAAGGGUUGUUAUAGACGAUGACGUUGAUAGGCAGGGUGUGGAAGCGUUGUAAGGCGUUAAGCUAACCUGUACUAAUUGCCCGAGAGGCUUAACCAUACAACGCCUAA
RNAcentral lists this ribosomal RNA (1180 nucleotides) under Alteromonas profundi. RNAcentral describes it as "Alteromonas sp. 345S023 partial 23S ribosomal RNA". It matches the Rfam family "Bacterial large subunit ribosomal RNA", at positions 1762 to 2925 of the family's 2925-position model. The record is from RNAcentral. Lineage: Bacteria; Pseudomonadati; Pseudomonadota; Gammaproteobacteria; Alteromonadales; Alteromonadaceae.